CAAUAGCGUAUAUUAAAGUUGUUGCGGUUAAAAAGCUCGUAGUUGGAUUUCUGCUGAGGACGACCGGUCCGCCCUCCGGGUGAGCAUCUGGUUCGGCCUUGGCAUCUUCUUGGUGAACGUAUCUGCACUUGACUGUGUGGUGCGGUACCCAGGACUUUUACUUGAGGAAAUUAGAGUGUUUCAGGCAGGCUUUCGCCGGAAUACAUUAGCAUGGAAUAAUGGAAAAGGACUUCAACCUCUUCUGUUGGUCUGAGAGGCUGUAGUAAUGAUAAUAGGGAUAGUUGGGGGCAUUAGUACUUAACUGUCAGAGGUGAAAUUCUCCGAUUUGUUAAAGACGGACUACUGCGAAAGCAUUUGCCAAGGAUGUUUUCAUUGAUCAAGAACGAAAGUUAGGGGAUCGAAGACGAUCAGAU
Molecule: ribosomal RNA, 413 nt
Filed under: uncultured eukaryote
Lineage: Eukaryota
Description: bacterial SSU rRNA
Rfam family: Eukaryotic small subunit ribosomal RNA
Source: RNAcentral